AUAUUUUGCAUGUGAGAAUGUGAAUGCUACAAUCCUCAGCUCAGCCAAGAGGGCUUAAUAAAUGGUGAAAUUUUACAUCUUUAGGGAGGAGCAACAUAUUUGUGAAAAAGUGUUGGUUAAAAUAAACACCAAAUUCCCAAGGAGGGACUCCAAACUCUGAUGAUGUGCAGCACUAAUCAUUUCAUUCCUGUGGAAAAAGUUACUCAGAGAGUGCAGCCCACUUCAUUCUUCUGUUCAUGUUCUCAUUCUCCCAUUGUCAAUGGCAAACAAGUCCUCAUCUCUUCCUAUCUGAGUUUUCUUUUGUUAUAGGAUGAACCAGGAGUGGACCAACAAAAUGUGUCCUUUUGGCAAUUUGCAAAAGAAGAAGUGAUUUGAUGUUAUAUUUUUUUUAAAAAAAAAGUGACAGGGCUUGUAUUUUACAAAUGAAACUGAGUUAUCAUCUGCUAGAAAAGUGUGACAUACUGGGAAUACCCUUGCAUCCUGGUUCCUCUUUAUAGACAGCUGUCUGUUCUUCACUAAGUCACUUUACUUUUCUAGGUUUCAGUGUUGGGUUGUGUCAAAGGAGAGAGAGGUACCACAUCAGCCUUUCCCAGCGUGUGCCUUGUAGAAACUAGUUCUGCAGGAUGUUUGUGAAUAGUCAAAGCAAAGGUAGGAAUUCACUGAUCAAACAGGACAAAGAGAGGCAUUCAAGAUGGAAGAAAUAAUAUGUGUGAAAGUACAGAGAUAUGAAAAAGCUCUUCACUCAUCUAUUCAACAAAUAUUUAUUGAAAACCUAUUAUGUGCCAGGUGACGACUACUGGAGUUUCAGUGUUCACAGAUCACCAUCAAACUUUGGAGUGACUGAGACCCCCAAAAAGUGUGCCCGGAGUAAAACAAGAAAGAUAAGGCUCAAACCAACACUGAGGGAGCAAGCAGAUGAAAUUAUAUUUGCAAAGAGGACAGAGAAGGCAACUUUAAAUUAUUAGUAAUGGAUCCAAGAAUCUCCUAUGGACCACAAAUCUGAUUUCACCUAGAUCUUCCACUUGUUCUUUUAGGAAAAACUGCAUAACUGUGAGUAGGAAAAUUUAUUGUUGGUUUUUCUUUGUUCCCUCAAAGUUGCCUCUUCUUUCAUCAUAGGUGAAAAGACUUCAACCUCAUGGCUCUUAAGACUCAUGAAGAGAACUAACUGCCAGAUUCAUUAGCAAAUACCGAGAUUGGGUUCCUAGAACAUUCCAGGGGACCUCACUCAACUCUCAAAACAUGGGAUGGACCUAUGUUUGCCAAAAAUUCAGAGUCAUCAUUCUGAAUUCAUUCAUUCUGAAGUCAUCAGAAUGGCCUUCACAAAUAACCUCAGAAGUUAAUUAUUAUUUGGAAACCAAUAUAACUGUUAUAACUCCCAGAAUUCCAGUCAGUUCAGAGCUAUAGUUAUACCCUAACAUCUGACAAAGUGUCUGGCACAUAGUAGGCCCUCAUUAAUUUCCUGAUGAAUGAAUGUCACAUACAAGUGAGCGGGAAAUGUAAAUAAGAAAUUUGAGGACAGCUCAUAAUCAAAUACUGAAGAUCCAAAAUGAAGUAAUGCUUCAACUUGUAAUAUCAUUGCAUUGUUUAUCAAGUUUUGAACAAAAUACAACUAGUCAUAUUUUCAUUGCCGGGGUAAAUAAGUCUGUUGCCCCAUAAAGAACUAACUUGUCUUCAAGCUCAUAUUCUACCAAUUCAUGAGAUUCAGAUUAGUAUAGUUUAACUUAAACUGCUACAUAUAAUCAAUUGAGCUCAAAAUUCUUUCACAACCCACUUUUCCAGACCUGAGAACAUAUUUCAGACUUGAAGAUUGACUGUCAUCAUUUCUUCCUCUACCCAAACUAAUAAGCCAAUCCUUUCCAUAGUAACAGAAAAAAGGAAUGGGAAGGAGUAAAAUAGUCCAUAAAAGUUAGCACAAUUAGAUAGAUAUGUAGACACAAAUACAACUGGCAGUAGGAUGAUUAGUAUAAAUUUCAAUACCACAACUUUUGGAGGAAUGGCACAACUUUAUUGCAGCCUUACCACUUGUGAACGAUGUAGUCACUGCUGGUCUGUGGCAGUGAAUGCGCUUCAUAGCACCCAAACACCAUCAAAGGUUCUUUAUUUACCUUACAUCUGCCAAUAACCCAUGUUCUCGAAUUUUCUGUGUAAAAGAGCUCCAUGUGGGUCAGAUUUAAUUUCUUGCAGAAAUACGAUAUGUCACUUCCAAUAAAAGCAACAAGGAAAGAGAGAUUCACACACUAACUUAUCAAGGAUGGCAGCUCAUGCUGGUGUUUGGAAUAGUUUGGAGGUAUUGUUUUGUUUACUGAGCCAUCAAGUUCAAAGGAAGGUGCACAAGCCUGAUUAGAAUGGCCUUCCCAGAACUGUUUUCCAAAUAGAAAACAUAUGCCCCUGUGGGGAAAGCUCUUCAUUCCCAGAUCCAAGUGAUUAUGAAAACAGCUUGACUCUGGGGAAGGAGAAUCUAGAAUAAUAUCUUUCUUUAACAUAGUACUGUCCCGAGGAAAGUCUAGGGCAAACUUCUGAUGGCCAAAGUAAAAGGCACACCAAGAGUGACUACAGGCUUUUACUUAAUGUAGAUAGACACCAAGAGGAGACUUAGACACUGUUAUGUUCAAUCCUCUGUAGAUUCCUCCAGCACAGGUUAAUGGACACCUCAGAAGAUCACCUGAUUAGACCUGAAACCACAUAGCAAAUCCAUGGCCAAGUUAGAGCCCUUGUGCUGGUCUCUCUCUCUCUCUUUUUUUUUUUUUUAAGUGUAUUGAUUUACAAUGUUGUUAGUUUCAGGUGUACAGCAAAGUGAUUCAAAUAUAUUUACAAUUCUUUUUUUUUUUCAGAU
Molecule: non-coding RNA, 2833 nt
Organism: Sus scrofa (pig)
Lineage: Eukaryota; Metazoa; Chordata; Mammalia; Artiodactyla; Suidae
Source: RefSeq, a predicted model, not a curated record